RNAcentral lists this ribosomal RNA (400 nucleotides) under uncultured bacterium. RNAcentral describes it as "bacterial SSU rRNA". It matches the Rfam family "Bacterial small subunit ribosomal RNA", at positions 355 to 752 of the family's 1533-position model. The record is from RNAcentral.
UGAGGAAUAUUGGACAAUGGGUGAGAGCCUGAUCCAGCCAUCCCGCGUGCAGGAAGACGGCCCUAUGGGUUGUAAACUGCUUUUGUAUGGGAAUAAACCACCUUUCGUGAAGGGUGUUGAAGGUACCAUACGAAUAAGCACCGGCUAACUCCGUGCCAGCAGCCGCGGUAAUACGGAGGGUGCAAGCGUUAUCCGGAUUUAUUGGGUUUAAAGGGUCCGCAGGCGGGCUAGUAAGUCAGAGGUGAAAGCCGGCAGCUUAACUGUCGAACUGCCUUUGAAACUGCAAGUCUUGAGUAAAAUUGAAGUGGCUGGAAUGUGUAGUGUAGCGGUGAAAUGCAUAGAUAUUACACAGAACACCGAUAGCGAAGGCAGGUCACUAAAUUUUAACUGACGCUGAGGG